RNAcentral lists this non-coding RNA (116 nucleotides) under Erysipelotrichaceae bacterium. Its description in RNAcentral is "FMN sequence". It matches the Rfam family "FMN riboswitch aptamer (RFN element)". Rfam says of the family: The RFN element is a highly conserved domain that is found frequently in the 5'-untranslated regions of prokaryotic mRNAs that encode for flavin mononucleotide (FMN) biosynthesis and transport proteins. This element is a metabolite-dependent riboswitch that directly binds FMN in the absence of proteins. In Bacillus subtilis, the riboswitch most likely controls gene expression by causing premature transcription termination within the 5' untranslated region of the ribDEAHT operon and precluding access to the ribosome-binding site of ypaA mRNA. The record is from RNAcentral. Lineage: Bacteria; Bacillati; Bacillota; Erysipelotrichia; Erysipelotrichales; Erysipelotrichaceae.
CAAAAACUUCAGGGUCGGGUGAAAUUCCCAAUCGGCGGUAAACCCCGCAAGCCGAAAGGCAGGAACCGUGUGAAACUCCGGUGGCGACAGUAUAGUCUGGAUGAAAGAAGUUAACG